ACAAGGACUCAGCUUUUAUGUUUUUCCAGAUGUUUGGUCAGAUAUCCCAUUAUCAUUUGUUAAAUUAUUAUCUAACUUGAUACACAUUAUUUAAUAUUCUAAAUUCCCAAAACUUUAUACUUUAGUUCUUUCUUUGGACUCUUUUUAUAUUAUAUAAAUAUUCAUUUCUAUGUUGAUGCCAUACUGUUAAUUAUUGAACUUUACACUAUUCCUAAGUAUGUAAUAGUAUAAAUCCCUACUCUUGCUUUUCAGUAUUGCUUCCAUCAAACAUUUAUAAAGUCCUUUUCAUUUAUAAACUCCUACUCCACUAUUGCCCUACUUUAUUUAAUAUUUAAUGUGGCUAUAACAAAGUAUCUAAGUCUUGGUACUGUAUGAAGAUAACAGAUUUAUUUAGUUUUCAGUUCUGUUAAUCCAAGAGGAUGGUGCUGGCAUCAGCUUCUGGUGAGAGCAGAUAGUGUCAUGUAGUGGGAGCACAUGUGAGGGGGAUCAGUGUCAGAUGACAAGAGAGAAAGCAAGAAGGCUAGCCAAGAAAGCUAAAUUCACUUUAUAUAUCAAAACCUACUCCAGCAGUAACCAAUCUAGACUCACAACAACUAUCCCACUUCAGGACACAAGUUGGUGCCCUUAAGGGCCUACUUUACUAGGUCCCACCACUUCCCUAGGUUCCACCACCUCUCAAUACCAUUACAUUAAGGAACAAGCCUCCAGCACAUGAAAUUUUGGGGAACAAAUCAUAUCCAAGAAUAGCAACUAUACAAUUAACAGUCUUAAUUUAGAGAGUGGGGUUUGCUUACUUAACUUCCACAGGACCAUCUUAUUUCUAAGCUCUUUCUUGGGGAUACCUCACUAUAACCCACUUUUAACACCAACAUGUAUGAGUAAAAAACAAAUCUGAAAUGUCCUAAUAAUCCUAGUUUUCCAAGGGUGCUUUAGAGAUUUAAUUCAGUCGUUAGCCAAUGUUUAUUUUUUCUUUGCUUAAGCAAGGUUGCUUAUUAUUUUUCUAGUAAGCCAAUCUUUAUCUACUGUGUGUCUGGAACUUGUUACAUGUCUGCUUUCCCAUCUUGAGGAAAAGUGAAGGACUCAGUAUGUUACAAAAAACUCAGCAUCAAACCCACAGAAUAGAUGAGGAGAUAGGAAUGGGGCUUAAAGAGUUUUAGUCUGAAUUUAGCUCUGAUUUAACUUUCAUAAUCAUACUUUGAACUCCAAUCAUGGAAGACUACGGUUUAAGAAUACAAAAUUUGUUUGCUCCAGUAUGAUCCUGGGUAGGUCAUGGGAACUUAAGAAGCCUCCCCUAGAAUAAUAACUUUUAGUGGUGUUGUGAAGAUUAAAAAUAAUUGUCCAGUUAACAAAUAUUUGCUGAGCACCUAAUAUAUGUAAGUGGCAAUAACUCAGUGAACAACUUAGACAUAAUUCCUGGCCUUAUGGAAUAUGGUCUAUGUGUGGGUUGGGAAAAGGCAGGCAGGCUACUAAGGAAGAAUUUCAGAGGUCCCUAAUCUAGACUAAGCUUCAGGGACUUCAGAAAAUCUCUUUAAAAAAGUAAAGUGAAAGCUAAAACCAAACAAUGAAGUAGUUAGUUGAGGAGAGGCAUAUUCUAGUCAAGAAUAACAUGUGCCAUACAUUUGAAGAAUUGAGAUAAGUUUCAUAUUUCUAGAAGCAAUGGGCAAAAUUCUGGACAAGGAAAUGAAACGAUUAUCUUUGUACAUAAAAAUAUCAUUUUACAAAUAAAAAUAAAUGAAAAGAUUGUUUUGGAGAAAAAAAUUAGAGUACGAAAGAAAGUUUUAAAAAUGCUUUUACCCUACUUCCUGUCCCCUGGCUUUGAACCUUCCACUGGAUUCCCAUGUUUGGCCAUAGUUUUAUAAUCCCCUUGCUCAGUUUCCAUCCUCACUUCCUUCCAGUCAACUCCCUUGUUGGGAACAACUUACCUUCAGAGUUGUAAGACUGGCUCUUUCUCAUGAUUCCAACCAAAGUCCAAAUAUCCCUUCUUUAGAAUAGUUUCACCUGAACACCUGACCUGAUGUUAAGUUGCCUCCCCUACAGCAUUUACUAUUACUUUUAACCUAUUUAUUGUCUUUAUAGCAUUAGUUCAAUAUUGGGUAUAUCAGUAAGAUACCUGAAAUAUAAGAGAUAAGAUAGCUUGUAAUAGAGGUCUGGUCGUACACUUAAAAUACAAAUCUGAAAUUGUUAGUCCAUAGGUGCUAACUGAAAUCAUGGGAAUAAACCAUGUUGCUUAGGAGGAAAACUUGCAGUGAAAAAAGACAAAGGCAGAGCCUGUAAAGGAGGGUGAGGUGAAGUAACGAGAGAGAGAGAGAGAGAGAGAGAGAGAGACAGAGAGAGAGAGAGAGAGAGAGAGAGAAGAAAUAACAGUGUGCAACAUCAAGGAAGCUAAGAGGACAGACUGAAAGAGAAACUGACAAUGCGGUCAAAGUGACUGAGGAAUUUAGGAAUAUGGAAGUCACCAGUGACCUUAGUGACUGCUAGAGAAUGGAAGGAGUAGAAUUUGAGUGGGUUGAGAAGAGUGGGAGGUGAGGUACUAAAGAUAGCAGAUGAAGACAAGAAUGUUUCAAGAAUUGCUGUGGGAGGAGAAGGAUGGUAUAGUAGGUAGAAGGAAAGGUGGGAUCCAGGGAAUACUCUUUUAAAGACAGGAAAAUCUAAGUGUGUUAAUGCUUAUGAAAAGAAGCUAAUAAAGAAGAAAGGUUGAAGCUACUAAAAAGAGAAAUGCUAACCUCAGAAGGAAAACCCUGAGUGGACAGAAGAUGAGAUUGACCUAAGGAUAGGAAGAGGGAUACCGCCUUUAUUAAAACAGGGAGGAGAGUGGAAAGAAUAUGUACAGUCCAGUAUUGACUGCUUUACCUACAACAACUUCUGUUAAUUAUGUUUGGAGUUUUGGUGGCAGGAAGCUGAGUUAACUCCCACCUGAGGGCUUAUAUUUUCUCUGAAGUCAUCUGUUGAGUAUUGAUAGGAAGUAAGAGAGGACAGUUUGAAAUAGCUGAUGAGUGAAAGAAGCAGCAUACUAAAGAAACAGUGGGACUCCCAUGUGCAGGAAAAUUGAUUAAUAUAAAUAAAGCAACUGGUAUAUAAUAAUUGCUCUAUAACCAAUAAAUAAUAUCUACCAACAUUAUGAUUACUAAUACUGACCACUAUUUUUUACAGUCACGGGCCAAAUAAAAGAAUUUCUGUGUGGGUAGAUUACAACCCUUAUUACAGGGAGUUGGUAUGGGACCUAUAUCCUUGAUGCAUACUAACAGAUAAUAACAUAAGUCACCAUUUAUCAUUGUAUAUCUGCUAUUAGACCUUAUAUUUUUACUUAUGUUGGUUCUGAAAGACUAUGUAUUAUAAAUAUCUGUAUUUCUCAAAGUAUUAUUUAUAAAUGAAUUUGUUUUCUGGUGGUUUUCUGCUGGAUACAAUGGCAAGCAACUGUUUUCUUGCUAUAAAAUAGCCAAACAGACUUGUACCUUCCCAUUUUAUCUGUACAAGGCAAAAUUUCUGGGCACUAUUCACAAUAGGAACUAUUCAGUUUUCACA
Molecule: long non-coding RNA, 3522 nt
Filed under: Marmota monax (woodchuck)
Lineage: Eukaryota; Metazoa; Chordata; Mammalia; Rodentia; Sciuridae
Source: RNAcentral